GUGUGCUUUAGGAUUUCUUUGAGUUUGGGCAACUACAUUGUUUCUCAACUUCCCAUGAUCAUCUGAAGACAACUUGUCCAAUUCACCUCACAACUUCGCUUUGAAAAUACUUACACACACACACAAAACGUAGAACAGUAACGGGAAGACAUUCAAUAUGAAACAUUAAGACAUUUAUAUACAUAAAUAUAUACCUGUGAAUUCUGAAGCUCUAUGGUAGCUGGUAGCUCUAUGGUACCAAGCUUUAUGGUAGAGAUGCAAACAGCAGUAAAACUUUGCGCAGGUAUUUUACUAGUUUCCACGUUACAGCAUGUCAAUGUCCUUUAUGUUAUCACAAAUCUGGUCGGGACAUGUCAAAACCAAAUGUUAAAAUCUAAAAAAUCUAAUCUGUGUGAGGAGUGAUGCUUCAUAUAAUGAGUUCUGGUUUGGCCCAGUAUGAAUGUUUGUACAAGGUUUACAGAACAAUGUGCAAAUACACACUGAUUCAACAACAUAACACACGUUAAGCAUUGUCCAUCCCAGAGCGUCUAUAUCCACGGUGGACUCAAACUAACAGGCGAUAAAAUGCAAGUCUGUGUGUGAUAAAUGGAGAGAAAGGUCACUUUAACUGUGAUGGCCAUCUAUCACUUUAGCAAAACUAUUCUAACAACAUCGUAUUCAGAGACAAACAUUGCAGAUGGUGGAACGGCUCCAAAGACAAAGUGUUUACAGGAAUAGUCUUUUUCCACAUCCCAACCUGAUGGGCUAUUAAAAUGGAGAGCCUCCCUCUACGGCCGUGAUGAUGUAAACAAAAGUGAUCUUCCGAUUACAGUCAGAGCACUGGAAAUAAAAGCAUGGAGCUUGUUGUUCCUCUAUUUGCUAAACUGGAGUCUCAACUUGCCAAAAUCAUUCAUGAUAUUCUACACUUACAGAAAGCACAAUGAAGAUUUACUUUGGAAUUAAACGUGUUUUCCUACGACGGGCAAGCAUGUUCACCACAAAGUACAGGUGUGGAAGACAGACCACCAGGGGAAUAAACGCUUUUGUCUGUGAAUGGUACGACUGCUUGGUGAACAUCAUUUAUGGUCAAAGGAAUGAAAAUGAAGUGUCAAACAGCCCGGCGGCUGACACCCCUUCAGUCAGGUGUUAAGCGCAGCACUAUUCAUGCACAGUGGUGAGGAUAUUAUCAUACACUUUCACAGCAGUUUAAAUUAUUUGUCCAGUGAAAUAGCUACUUGAUCAAG
Gasterosteus aculeatus aculeatus (three-spined stickleback) is the source of this 1223-nucleotide long non-coding RNA. The record is from Ensembl. Lineage: Eukaryota; Metazoa; Chordata; Actinopteri; Perciformes; Gasterosteidae.